Long non-coding RNA from Macadamia integrifolia, 2087 nucleotides. RefSeq lists it as uncharacterized. NCBI's taxonomy places the organism in Eukaryota, Viridiplantae, Streptophyta, Magnoliopsida, Proteales, Proteaceae. The transcript is spliced from 2 exons. The record is from RefSeq and is a predicted model, not a curated record.
CCCACCAAAAUGACUAAUAUCAGCAGCGUGCUGGUAUAGUGAUAUGCAUGCUUAAAUUAUGUUUUCAACUGUUCUUAAUUUUGUAUUUCUUCAGUAAGAAAGUUAAUUCUUUUUCUUUUCUUUGCCUCAUGCUCUGAGGUCAUGCAUGAAUUUGUAAGAGCUGUUGACAGAUAAAUCUGAGAAAAGAGAAUAAUGAUAUGCGAAAAACAGAGAAUAUUCGAACUGUAUAUUAUUAAACUAUCUGGGAAGGAAUGUAAAUAUUAUUAAUCAUGCUACCUUUGUAUGUGGAUUAAUCAUAGGUUUUGUUAAAAUUUUAUGAAGAAAGUGGUAUUUUAUUGUGUUGUAUUACUAAGCAUAUUCUUGCUUUGAACGUUUUAGGCAACAGCUGUUUACAAGGUUUCAUCCAUUGCUGAGCAAAGUGGUGUGCCUGUCAUUGCUGAUGGAGGAAUUGCAAAUUCUGGACAUAUUGUCAAGGCUUUGGUGCUGGGGGCCCCUACUGUUAUGAUGGGGAGUUUCUUAGGUGGCAGCAACGAGGCUCCUGGGGUUUACGAAUAUCAGGGUGGCCGUCUAAAAAGUACAGAGGCAUGGGUUCCCUUGAAGCCAUGACAAAGGGAAGUGAUGCCCGGUACCUGGGGGAUAAGUCUAAGCUAAAGGUGGCUCAGGGAGUUCUGUAUUGAAGUUUAUUCCUUACACGAUGCAAGCAGGCAAGCAAGGAUUUCAGGAUCUUGGUGCAUCCUCUGUGCAGUCUGCUCACAACCUUCUGAAGUCUAGGGUGUUCUGUAUGUUUGAGGAGCAUUUGUUGUUUUUGUACAUUUUUUUGGAGGUUACGAUUUCUGAGCAUAAUAUAAUCUUACUGCCAUGAAAAUGUUCUUUUAUAUCUGCAUCAUAUCCCAGUGAAAUAUUUUCUUCAUAGAGGAAUGAGGAAGAGGUUUUCAGUCUCAACAGAAGUAAUAAUAUGUAUUAAGGAGCCAUAUUUAAUAUGUGUAGACUCUGCUUUCUGAAGCACACUCGCCAUGUCUGAUCAAGCCAUAACUUCCAAAACCAUUAUUGGAUUGAUCAGAUUUUUUUAUUGUUGAAAAGCUAACUUACAGAUCUACCUUUCUCAUGAGCUUCCACAAGUUCCCAGUGAAGGACCUCUCAAAACACACUUGAAGUCACUGCCUCAACACAAACCUUGCAGUCCUCUGCUUGAGCUAAUAAUUUUCAUCUACCUCUUAAAACCUCACUUUUGAGCCUUAUAUUUCAGCCAUUACAGCAACAAAUCCCAAAAACUAAAACCCAACCCAAAUCUAUACUAAAACCUGACCCAUAUUUAAACAGAGCCUUAAAUUGAGCCUGCAUUUGCUUCUCUUAGUGGGAGUGAUGCUGGCAGAUUUACAAACCUGAGAGAUUUCACUGUUCAAAUAUCCCAAAUAUGAAAUCACUUCCAAGUUCUGUUACCGGAUUAGUUUCAGAACUAGAUCCAAAGAAUGUAGAAAAUUCAGAAUUCAAAAAGCUAGAAUCAAACCAAAAAUGUAUUAUCUGCUUGAAUUUUUUCUUUUUUUUAGUGAAUGCUUAAUUCAUAAGAGUUCAGCAGGUUCUGGAUUUAUAUAUUUGUUUGUUGUUCCUUGGUAGCAGAUUUGUAUUGUGCAAUAACCUUUUCUGUGUUUUGCAGGUGAGGACAGGAGCAGCUUAGGUUGAAGGUGGGGUUCAUGAUUUGGUAUACCAUGCCAAAAAAGCGUUCUGAAACCUGAAAUCUCAAGCCUGUUAAUUCUGGGUAAUCAACCCUUGUAUGCUUUCUAAUUAUAAUCAAUAUUUAGAGAAGCAACAUCAGAUGCAAUCCACAAUCAAAAUGACUAGUAUCAGAUGCAGUCUAAUCCUAUGGCGAUCGGCAAAGUUGGCUUUCAUUACUGAGUUAAUGUUUUGUGUUUAGGCCAGGAUUUUUCUUACUAGUCUACACAUGUUAAAAUUUUGCCCGUGAUGGCUUAACUUUUCUUCCAUUAUUGAGAUAUUUACCUCUUUUAAUAUGCUCCUUGUACCAUAUGCCGGUAGAUGAUUAUAAUUUUGAAAUCUUUUGGAGGAAUUUUAUAUUAUUGUUAGCAUGGUCA